GACGAACGCUGGCGGCGUGCUUAACACAUGCAAGUCGAACGGUAAGGCCCUUCGGGGUACACGAGUGGCGAACGGGUGAGUAACGCGUGGGUGAUCUGCCCUGCACUUCGGGAUAAGCCUGGGAAACUGGGUCUAAUACCGGAUAGGACUCCGGACUGCAUGGUCUGGGGUGGAAAGCUUUUGCGGUGUGGGAUGGGCCCGCGGCCUAUCAGCUUGUUGGUGGGGUGAUGGCCUACCAAGGCGACGACGGGUAGCCGGCCUGAGAGGGUGACCGGCCACACUGGGACUGAGAUACGGCCCAGACUCCUACGGGAGGCAGCAGUGGGGAAUAUUGCACAAUGGGCGCAAGCCUGAUGCAGCGACGCCGCGUGAGGGAUGACGGCCUUCGGGUUAUAAACCUCUUUCAGCAUCGACGAAGCGAAAGUGACGGUAGGUGCAGAAGAAGGACCGGCCAACUACGUGCCAGCAGCCGCCGUAA
RNAcentral lists this ribosomal RNA (478 nucleotides) under uncultured bacterium. RNAcentral's name for it is "partial 16S ribosomal RNA". It matches the Rfam family "Bacterial small subunit ribosomal RNA", at positions 28 to 523 of the family's 1533-position model. The record is from RNAcentral.